Molecule: ribosomal RNA, 253 nt
Filed under: uncultured Sphingomonas sp.
Lineage: Bacteria; Pseudomonadati; Pseudomonadota; Alphaproteobacteria; Sphingomonadales; Sphingomonadaceae
Description: partial 16S ribosomal RNA
Rfam family: Bacterial small subunit ribosomal RNA
Source: RNAcentral
UACGGAGGGGGCUAGCGUUGUUCGGAAUUACUGGGCGUAAAGCGCACGUAGGCGGCUUUUUAAGUCAGAGGUGAAAGCCCGGAGCUCAACUCCGGAAUUGCCUUUGAGACUGGGAGGCUUGAAUCCAGGAGAGGUGAGUGGAAUUCCGAGUGUAGAGGUGAAAUUCGUAGAUAUUCGGAAGAACACCAGUGGCGAAGGCGGCUCACUGGACUGGUAUUGACGCUGAGGUGCGAAAGCGUGGGGAGCAAACAGG